AGUCGGCGUAAGGGUGGUUUAGAUUAAGCUUAAAAUUAAAGCCGAACGCCUUCCGGGCUGUCAUACGCAUCCGAAGGUAAGAAGUUCAACUACGAAAGUAGCUUUAUAUUUUCUGACCCCACGAAAGCUAAGAUA
RNAcentral lists this ribosomal RNA (135 nucleotides) under Sarpa salpa. RNAcentral describes it as "partial small subunit ribosomal RNA". Lineage: Eukaryota; Metazoa; Chordata; Actinopteri; Spariformes; Sparidae. The record is from RNAcentral.